Long non-coding RNA from Haemorhous mexicanus (house finch), 968 nucleotides. RefSeq lists it as uncharacterized. NCBI's taxonomy places the organism in Eukaryota, Metazoa, Chordata, Aves, Passeriformes, Fringillidae. The transcript has 2 exons. The record is from RefSeq and is a predicted model, not a curated record.
CGGCUCCAUCCUUUAUCCACUGCAUUAGCGGCACUUUCUGGCCCCGCUCGCUGUCGUAGCGCGUGAAGGGGAUCCCAUCCAGGUACCCGGUGGACAUGAACUGGGGGACCCCUGGGCUGGACUCUGACACUGCCACAGUCAGAGAAUGGUCCCAACUGAAUUCCAGCAAAGAAUGUGAAGCCCUUUGGAGAAUCUUUGAGUGCAUCCCCAGAAGAUUGACCUUGAACACCAACAUUGGAGGAGAACCCUUGUGAACAGGACCUCAACACCACACCAGCACCUCUUUAACCUCUAACAGACUUGAGCCCUUGGGAAAAUGGUUAAGAUUACCCCGUGGUAUCAGGGCUUACAGGGCUAGGAAAACUUCUGGGGGACUGGAAACUUGGUGGAUGGAUAAGAAAUUUAGUUAAAAUAGGCUUCUAUGUAUUAGGCAUUGUAUUAUGUAUUGCUAUGGUUAUUCCUUGUAUUUACACUGUGUGAAAAAAUUAAUAGGCAAAUCACUUAAGAGAGUAUUUUUGUUUGAAAAGAUAGGGAAAAGUAUGGGGAAUAAAACAGAGAGUACAGUGGAACUGAUAAAGGGGCCUGAUAUCUUAGGCCUGAUGGAGCAGAAACUGUGGGAGGGACAGACACAGAUUAAGGCUCCCUGGGCAAGAAGUGACCAAGAAACAUGUGAGACUUUGUGAUGUUAGCAGGUGAUGUGAUGUCAUGAAGAAUGUGUAACCAAUGGGAAAUUGUUACCAAAAAUAGAACCCUAUAUAAGUACCACAGAAGCCAAACCCUAUAUAAACCCUUGGUGUACUCAAUAAAAUUGGCUUCUGAUCUAAACUCAGAUGUCCCCAUCUCUCCAUUGUCGAUAACCCUGUUCUGGGUGAUCCCCGUUGGGUGGGGGGAAGGUGUUGGAGAGAUUCUUUCCCUUCUCCUUGUGCUGCUGUGAUUUGGUUGUUAAUAAAUUCCCUCUCUGUUCCCAG